RNAcentral lists this ribosomal RNA (253 nucleotides) under uncultured bacterium. RNAcentral describes it as "partial 16S ribosomal RNA". It matches the Rfam family "Bacterial small subunit ribosomal RNA", at positions 524 to 776 of the family's 1533-position model. The record is from RNAcentral.
UACGGAGGGGGCAAGCGUUGUUCGGAAUUACUGGGCGUAAAGGGCUCGUAGGCGGCCAACUAAGUCAGACGUGAAAUCCCUCGGCUUAACCGGGGAACUGCGUCUGAUACUGGAUGGCUUGAGUUCGGGAGAGGGAUGCGGAAUUCCAGGUGUAGCGGUGAAAUGCGUAGAUAUCAGGAGGAACACCGGUGGCGAAGGCGGGUCUCUGGGCCGUAACUGACGCUGAGGAGCGAAAGCGUGGGGAGCGAACAGG